GAAGAGGAAAAAUCCUGUGAUGUAAUAACUGCUUUCUGAGUCUGAGUUCUCUAAUAGGAUCCCCUUUUCCGGCAGUUUGAGUGGAAGUUGGACUUUCUCUUUCGAUGGCGGUCCAGGCUUUCUGCCUUUUAGUCUAAAGCCCUUCGAGCCAUUGGAAGUUGCCUUUUCCCCUUAGUGGAUGGGGUUACAUACGAGCCAACCAAUAGGUAGGGUGCUACCCUCUGACCUGACGAGCUCCCUUUCCAUUUUCUGAGGUUUAAGGAGUAGGUUACUUGGGGCAUGUGAGCUUUAGCCAUUUCCAGCCUAGCUGAGUAAGUAAAUGUAAAUCUCUCUUCAUCUUUUUUAGUCUAUCGAUCUAGGCCCUGCCUAGAUAAUCUCCCAGUGAUCUAGAGUGUCAUCCAUUUUCAGUGCUAGCUCCGACUC
RNAcentral lists this long non-coding RNA (423 nucleotides) under Gossypium barbadense (sea-island cotton). RNAcentral's name for it is "long non-coding RNA (GBAR_LNC004647)". The record is from RNAcentral. Lineage: Eukaryota; Viridiplantae; Streptophyta; Magnoliopsida; Malvales; Malvaceae.